CCCUUAGAUGUUCUGGGCCGCACGCGUGCUACACUGAGUGGAUCAGCGGGUCAGGUUGCGCGAAAGCGUUUCCUAAUCUUUAAAUCCGCUCGUGAUGGGGAUUGACGGUUGCAAUUUUCUGUCAUGAACGAGGAAUACCUUGUAAGCGCGGGUCAUCAUCCCGCGCUGAAUACGUCCCUGCCCUUUGUACACACCGCCCGUCGCUCCUACCGAUUGAGUGGUCCGGUGAGGCUUUGGGAUUUGAGCGGAAAGAGCGUUUCGCUGUUUCUGCUCGGAAAACUCAGUCGAACCUUAUCAUUUAGAGGAGGGAGAAGUCGUAACA
Molecule: ribosomal RNA, 322 nt
Filed under: uncultured eukaryote
Lineage: Eukaryota
Description: partial 18S ribosomal RNA
Rfam family: Eukaryotic small subunit ribosomal RNA
Source: RNAcentral